GCAACACCUGCCAUUCGACUUCUGGUAAUGUUUUGAAUUCCACUGUAUUUUAUCUCCAACAUCCUCUGGAAACUUCCAUUUUUUGUAUCAAAAACUUGGUUCUCCUCUGUCACUUCCCAGCGCAUUUUUUUCUCUUCUGCUUUUUUGAACAUCAAAUACGUAAUUUCAGAUCAGGCCAUGUAUGAUUAGGUUUUACUAACAUUGACUUUCAGGCUAGCUUAAUGUGUGCUGAUAUACACAACUGCUUUGGUAAGUGAGCUUGAUGCAAAUACUGACUUAUACUAUCCAUUAAUUUUAUUUUGGUUGGUGAGCUUGUUGUAAAUAUGGAUUCUACUGUUCAGUGCCUUUUUUUAUAUAAAAAAAAAACUUUUGAUUAUAAUUUAUGUUAUCUUGAUAUGUUUCAACUUGCGAACUGGACAUAAUCAUGGUCUGACUUGCUGGUUGGUAUUUAUGUGCUGUAUACUUUUUAUUCUUGCUAAAAGUUGUAGUUAAUUUAUUUGCAACAUUCCAUCUAUUUAAGCAUUUGGUUGUUUUCAUACAGCAUUAAUCUUUCUUAAUGGGCAAGAAGUAAUACAGUAGCCAGGCUGUUCUAAGGGCUUAGCAUGCCUUUAUAAUAGGCAAAAGUUUUUGUUUGUAUACUUGGAGAAAACUUUUCUUGGCAUUCAUUAAUUUGAUGAUAUAUAUUUGUAUAUCAUGAGUUCUUUUCUGACAGUGUCUGGCAUCUGGAUUGAGGACUUAUUUUGCAUCCUGUUGAUUGGGUUAAUUAUGUUUGUUUUAACUUACUCGUAUUGCACUUUAUUAUGCCUGAGUUGCACAUUUUGCCAGAGUUAGUUGUCAUUCAUUAUAAUUUUUAGGCUUGUCUUGUACCAUUAAUAUUUUUUUUUUCACUUUUUACUGCAUUAUAUGGCUCUGUAGAAAGAUUGUUAGAUCUUUAAUUGAUUUUCUCUAAAAGUCUUGUAGGAAGCUUGCAUUCCUUUGUUGGAAUUUUGAGGCACUUGUGCAUGAGAAUUGAGUGUGUGCCAUGCCCUUAUUGCUAUUCUUUUACUUGGGUGUGGAAUUACUAAAGAUUAAGCCAAUAUUAAACAAUAUAAAUUCUUGUUUUGUUUCCAUGCUAUAUAACAGAGCAUUUAGGAACUUUGUUUUCAUAAGCAGAACGUUUUAUUUUGUUACAGCUGAGGUUGUGGCAGGAUCAGCG
This 1195-nucleotide unclassified non-coding RNA is filed under the name Hevea brasiliensis (rubber tree). Lineage: Eukaryota; Viridiplantae; Streptophyta; Magnoliopsida; Malpighiales; Euphorbiaceae. The record is from RNAcentral.